UAAUACAUGCAAGUCGAGCGGAUUGAUGGGAGCUUGCUCCCUGAUAUCAGCGGCGGACGGGUGAGUAACACGUGGGUAACCUGCCUGUAAGACUGGGAUAACUCCGGGAAACCGGGGCUAAUACCGGAUAACUCAUUUCCUCGCAUGAGGAAAUGUUGAAAGGUGGCUUUUAGCUACCACUUACAGAUGGACCCGCGGCGCAUUAGCUAGUUGGUGAGGUAACGGCUCACCAAGGCGACGAUGCGUAGCCGACCUGAGAGGGUGAUCGGCCACACUGGGACUGAGACACGGCCCAGACUCCUACGGGAGGCAGCAGUAGGGAAUCUUCCGCAAUGGACGAAAGUCUGACGGAGCAACGCCGCGUGAGUGAUGAAGGUUUUCGGAUCGUAAAGCUCUGUUGUUAGGGAAGAACAAGUGCCGUUCGAAUAGGGCGGCACCUUGACGGUACCUAACCAGAAAGCCACGGCUAACUACGUGCCAGCAGCCGCGGUAAUAC
This 496-nucleotide ribosomal RNA is filed under the name uncultured marine bacterium. RNAcentral's name for it is "bacterial SSU rRNA". It matches the Rfam family "Bacterial small subunit ribosomal RNA", at positions 49 to 526 of the family's 1533-position model. The record is from RNAcentral.